CAGUAGCGCGGUAAUACGUAGGUGGCAAGCGUUGUCCGGAUUUACUGGGCGUAAAGGGCGCGUAGGCGGACUGAUAAGUCAGGGGUGAAAUCCCAAGGCUCAACCUUGGAACUGCCUUUGAUACUGUUUGUCUUGAGUUCGAGAGAGGUAAGUGGAACUGCGAGUGUAGAGGUGAAAUUCGUAGAUAUUCGCAAGAACACCAGUGGCGAAGGCGGCUUACUGGCUCGAAACUGACGCUGAGGCGCGAAAGCGUGGGGAGCAAACAGGAUUAGAUACCCGCGUAGUCCCUGUCUCUUAUACC
RNAcentral lists this ribosomal RNA (301 nucleotides) under uncultured bacterium. Its description in RNAcentral is "partial 16S ribosomal RNA". It matches the Rfam family "Bacterial small subunit ribosomal RNA", at positions 509 to 808 of the family's 1533-position model. The record is from RNAcentral.